RNAcentral lists this ribosomal RNA (520 nucleotides) under uncultured Glomus. Its description in RNAcentral is "SSU rRNA". It matches the Rfam family "Eukaryotic small subunit ribosomal RNA", at positions 569 to 1090 of the family's 1831-position model. The record is from RNAcentral. Lineage: Eukaryota; Fungi; Glomeromycota; Glomeromycetes; Glomerales; Glomeraceae.
AGCAGCCGCGGUAAUUCCAGCUCCAAUAGCGUAUAUUAAAGUUGUUGCAGUUAAAAAGCUCGUAGUUGAAUUUCGGGGUCAGUAGAUUGGUCAUGCCUCCGGUAUGUACUGGUCUUACUGGCUCCUCCUUCCUGAUGAACCGUAAUGCCAUUAAGUUGGUGUUGCGGGGAAACAGGACUGUUACUUUGAAAAAAUUAGAGUGUUUAAAGCAAGCUAACGCUUGAAUACAUUAGCAUGGAAUAAUGAAAUAGGACGUUCGAUCCUAUUUUGUUGGUUUCUAGGAUUGACGUAAUGAUUAAUAGGGAUAGUUGGGGGGCAUUAGUAUUCAAUUGUCAGAGGUGAAAUUCUUGGAUUUAUUGAAGACUAACUACUGCGAAAGCAUUUGCCAAGGAUGUUUUCAUUAAUCAAGAACGAAAGUUAGGGGAUCGAAGACGAUCAGAUACCGUCGUAGUCUUAACCAUAAACUAUGCCGACUAGGGAUCGGAUGAUGUUAAUUUUUAAUGACUCAUUCGGCGCCUUA